GAUGAACGCUGGCGGCGUGCUUAACACAUGCAAGUCGAACGGAAAGGCCCAAGCUUGCUUGGGUACUCGAGUGGCGAACGGGUGAGUAACACGUGGGUGAUCUGCCCUGCACUUCGGGAUAAGCCUGGGAAACUGGGUCUAAUACCGGAUAGGACCACAUUUUGGAUGGUGUGGUGGAAAGUUUUUCGGUGUGGGAUGAGCUCGCGGCCUAUCAGCUUGUUGGUGGGGUAAUGGCCUACCAAGGCGUCGACGGGUAGCCGGCCUGAGAGGGUGUACGGCCACAUUGGGACUGAGAUACGGCCCAGACUCCUACGGGAGGCAGCAGUGGGGAAUAUUGCACAAUGGGCGCAAGCCUGAUGCAGCGACGCCGCGUGGGGGAUGACGGCCUUCGGGUUGGAAACUCCUUUCGCUAGGGACGAAGCGUUAUGUGACGGUACCUGGAGAAGAAGCACCGGCUAACUACGUA
Molecule: ribosomal RNA, 466 nt
Filed under: uncultured bacterium
Lineage: Bacteria
Description: partial 16S ribosomal RNA
Rfam family: Bacterial small subunit ribosomal RNA
Source: RNAcentral